Molecule: RNA transcript, 4302 nt
Organism: Aquila chrysaetos chrysaetos
Lineage: Eukaryota; Metazoa; Chordata; Aves; Accipitriformes; Accipitridae
Gene: C16H11orf16
Gene name: chromosome 16 C11orf16 homolog
Exons: 8
Source: RefSeq, a predicted model, not a curated record
UUUCAUGUCUGAGCAUCUCAUUGCAGAGAACUUCUACAGUGAGCCCUGCAUGUUUCCCUACCAAAUGCCCCAUUCCAAUUACUGCAGAACAGAUCAUGACUGAGUCCCGCAGUUAGCUCCUUUUGCAAGAAUGGCUUGUUCGGGAGGGUUCUUGCCUACGGGUCACAGGUACUGCAGUGCGAUGCCAGCUCUGGACAAGUUCUCGUGCUGCAGUGUCGUACCUACUGUCAACCCCUGCUGCAGGAGCUCUUUUGUAGUGCAUCCCACCCACAUCGCUGAGCUCCUCACCCCCCAGAGGUGCCAAUGGAUUAGCGACUGCCUCCCCUCCCCUGGCCCAGCAUGGAAGAAGCUGAGCACAUUGGGGAGAUCAGUGAGCUUAGACAGCAAUGUCCCUGUGCUGGUGAGAGGGGAAAAAGAUGGAUUUUAUUACCGUGGUACAGUAAAAGAAGAGAUAGAGAGUGAAAGAGGCACGUUCCUGGUAGAGUUUGCCAAACCACAUGUGUCACGUGGAAGGCAUCCAGUGUGUGUGCAAAGAACAGCAAAGGAUGACAUCCUGGAAUACGUGAACAGAAUGAAGCACUCCUUACUCCCUGGAGACAAAGUGCUGGCACCCUGGGAGCCAGAUAUGGCCAGAUAUGGCCCAGGAACUGUCCUCACGGGCAUUGAGACGAGAGACCCCUUAAGAGCCUCAGAAGAUGAAGAAAUUACGGUCCAUUUCUGGAACGACAAGGAAGUGAAACUCCCGCGAGGUGUGGCUCUGUGGAUCCCUCCUAGCCUGUGGGAGAGGAUUGUAGAGAUGAUCCACAUGCCCUUCGCCAGCAGGGUGAAGCCCAAACAAAGUCCGGACGCUAACUCUUGUAUUUUUUCCUGCGGUUCCAAAACAGCCCUGGUUCCUGUUUGUGCUGUACGUAGCCUUGCCAAGCACUGCUUGCUCUGCUCACCCUCCUGGCCACAUUUCCACUAUCACUGUGAUGGUAUAUGCUGUUCUUCAGCAUAUGUAAGGUGCAUCUGCUGCUGCCAUCCCCAUGUUGAUGCCUGGUGGCCUCUUCCAUCCAGGUCUCUGGUCUUUCAGAAUGAAACUGAAAAGGCGGAGUCCAGCAGUGAGCCCUUUCCAUGCCUUCUAGAACUGAAAGGCCCCAAACAAGAAGCAGCAGCAGCUGUGGCAGUGUCUUCCCCCUGUGUUGAUGCAGAGUGGGACCUGGAGGCGUCCCCCACUGAGAGUACUGUGGUGCACGGUGCUGUUAACACAGACUCCAGCUGUCUUGAGAAGCCCAGGCUAAAGGAUUCUGCAAGACCCGAGUGGAAAUACUGGAAAAGAAGCCACCACAAGUCCCAUCCCAGUAAUUCAGGACUUGGCAGUCGCAGCAGCACAUGUACAGAGGGCAAGAUGGAAUCCAAAGCCAUCUCCGUUGGGAACAUGUCCCACGUUGCCCCAACUUAUCGGAGUGCAAUGUUUGAAACCAUCGAGCAGUCUCCCAGAGGGCAGCUCACAAUGAAAGAAAUCUUAAGAGACCAAUAUUUCAAGCUGUCAUUUGGGCUGAGGAGGGGAAUGAUAGAGUGGCUUUGGUGGGCACCUGGUGUUCAGCCAGGGUCAACCCACCACACAGAAAAGAGGAAGAAAAAAGCCUGCAGGAAGAAGGGGAACAUGAAAGAGAAUGGCAGGAUGAACAGAAACACUGCUCUGCACAAGAGCGUCAGGGGUACAAUAAAUAAAUUAUAUAUUGGAAAUCAAACAUUAGCUCCUUUGUACCUUCAUGCUCUUGCUACUGUGAGCUUACUGCAGGGUAAAACUUUGAAUGUGCUAAACUUGCAUGAUUUUCUUUAGGAGAAGAUGAAUCUGUUAAUGACAUGUCUUGGUGAACAGAGAAUAUACUGGAAUAUAUCUUGUACUCUCACAAUUAUAUGCAUUAAUUUUAAGCAGAUGCCUACUGACUUAUUAACUAUACGGUUCCUACUUUAUUAUUUAAAUAAUCAUAAUUACACACCUUUGUAAUUGCCUUCCUAGGAAUUUUUAGGCCAGUAUGGAGCUCCAAGCAGACAUGCGCUAUGUUAGCAAGUGUCACAGCUAUGCCCUGAAGUGACAUGCUUUGCCUUUUGGUAAAACUAAAAAAAACCCCCAAAACCCAGAGUGGUUUCAUUCUAGCCCUAAACUGGCAUCAUGAAUCACAGUAGUGGAUGCAAUGUGUUAAUACAGAGUAUGAUGACAUACUUUUAUUCCUGUGAAAUGGCCCUUGGUGUUUUUAAACCCAGAAUAUACAUUGCCACUCCUUCAGACUGCAGAGAAGCAGUUUUAUCAUAUAAUGCAGACUGCAUCAGAAAUAACUUGAAACAAACAAGUGAAGCUAGAGAGCAGGCUUCCCAGAGGUGCUCUCUGUGGAGCUAAUGUUCUCCCACUGUAGUCACCAAAAAUUCUCCUAACUUCUAAAGGAGCAAAGUUUUUGGUCAAAGCCUAACAGCUGCUGAAAAUCCUUUGGUCUUGUACACUUCUGUGUUUCAGCAGUAAAAUUUGUACUAGCACAGAAAUGAUACCAUUAUUAAAGCUAUGUGAGGCAGAGGUACCUAUCUUACAGCCAGGAAAGCAGCAGUUACAAAGACACUGAUGCUUUUUUUUAGGUUAGACUUCCAAGGGAUUUGUUUUCUGUCCUCCAGGAAGAAGGUUUUGCAGCAUCAGAAAAACAAAGAUAUAAAACAGCAAGGAAGAAGACAGAGUCGGAUGAUAACUGUAAAGUGACUUGCACAGAAGGCAACAAACUUGACGAUACAGACCAUGUCAGAAGAGGACAGACAAAAAAAACAACGAAGAGCUCACUUGCAACAAAGGAGAGGGAGAGACACGAUCAACACAGAAUUCAAUAAAUGGACAACUGAUGAAGUUCAGGAGCUGAAAUUUCAGGCUGCCAUGAAGCUAUAGUACUUCUGGACAACAAUAGAAACAGACAAUAUUAUGUGGAGAAGCAUCAAAGCCAUGGUCACAACUACUGCAGAUUUACAAUUAAAAGUGAAACUGACCUUCUAUAUUAAUUGGCUGGUGUGUUCUCACGUGAGGAUGAAAACAAUGCCUGGAUGUCCACAGGACAUCUGCCUUCUGGUAUAAAACUGUUAGCCCUGAUUGUAGAUGCCUGUCUCCCGACACAAUACAUAGGGACUCCCUGACACCUCAGAACUAAAUUAAUGAAAAUAUCAGAAGGAACGCUCUGGAAACAUCUAACUGAUCAGGCUCCUUGAGAAAAGCUCUGGUAGAAAAAGGCAUAGUUUAUAGGUCCUGAACAGGAUGUAUAUGCAAGCCAGGUGCUUUGCAACCUAGCCAGUGAAGACUGGUUCUGCAGGGCAUGUGCAGGAGCAGUGCUCUAAAAGCAGAACACGUUAAUACUGAAAAAUGAGUUGGUGAAGAAGCUAAAGUGUCUUCAAGGCUGGUAUGAGGAGCACAGCGGUUUCGAGAAUUGUAUUUAAGUCCGCAGCAGCCCUUUUCUGGCUCCACAGUAAAGGUACCUGAAUCUUCCCCACUGCAAAUUAAAUAUUUGAGUAUAGCUCUGCUGCCAUCUGUUGUCACCUCUCAGGGUUACCUUUUUGAUCACAGGGACCAAAAAGUUCCAAAAUACCUAUUUUAUUUCACUUCCAUUUUCCUUGUCUCUGACUGUCAAGACUAAACUUAACAAAAAUAAGGCCAGUAGCAAUUCUUAUUUCCAAAUCUACUGCUGUGUUUUAUUCCUUGAGGUUAUGCACACAUCAACAGAUUUGGUUGCUUGUAUUGUGGUUUACUGUGGAGCUACGUCCCCAAAUACAUCAAAUACUCUGACUUUAUUGCGUAACGCUUCACUGAGCAUUUCUGUAUCACGGGAGGUGAGCUGGAUUCUUUUACGUGAUGUCACAGAGCAAAGAAAUGAAAACAAACUUUUGGGGUAAGAAAUGUGGGUAAACUUUGGUCCCUUAGUAACUCUAAGCAACUCAUCCUAAAUCACAGUUUUAAUCGUUUGCAGUCAAGUGCCUAAAUGGUUAUGUUGGGCUGUGGAUUUUUAUUUGCACUUUGUAAACUUUAUUCAUGAACUUGUGGGUCUGAGAAUUCCCCCCACCCCACCCUUUUAUGACUCUUCUUGUCUACAGAAGAUGACUGAAGCAGUACUGUCUCAGCUGAUGCAUAAAUAUGGAAGUCAUCCACUGCUUGCUCCAACUCUGAUACUCCUAACAGGGAAUAGGAUGAGUCUCUAUACACUGUUAUAUUUUUGUUUCGUGUUGUGUAAAACUAUUCCGAGUUGUUUUAGUAUGUAGUGCUUUGAAAUGAUAAAGGAGUUGUUUAAGAACUAA